This is a long non-coding RNA of Prunus mume (Japanese apricot), 899 nucleotides long. RefSeq lists it as uncharacterized. Lineage: Eukaryota; Viridiplantae; Streptophyta; Magnoliopsida; Rosales; Rosaceae. The record is from RefSeq and is a predicted model, not a curated record.
GGAAGAAAGAGAUGUGAUCGACGGCAGGAGAAAAAGCUAGGCUUUCUCAGUCCUCGCUCGCUGCUCUCAAAUGGCAACAAGCAAGAGAGUUUGGGAGUGAUGGGAGCUUACACUAACUCUGAUCCCAUUUUACCACAAGCCCACCAAUUCUUGCCUUUUUUUGUCUGGGAGCUUUUGCUGGGGCAUCUGGGGCAGGAAUCAGGUGUAUCCGGUUGAAACCGAAAUACUGGGGUCAAUCUUUUCUUUGUGCAAGUCAGGUUAUCAUGAAGGCUUGAAUAUUUGACUGAGUAGGGGAAGAAAAAAUUCUUACGCAAGUUCAAGUAUCAUUUAGUGCAUAGCUCACCACUACCCUCGAUGGGAUCAAUACAAGAGGUCAGGUCCCCUGAUCAACCUUGAGAGUAUUGGGGACAAAAUUGAGGGGCUAUUGACUGAAAAUAUACUCAGUAAAGUUUCAGUUGAUUGUUAUUUCAAACUGGCCUUUCAACAUCGUCUCCAAGAUGGGCAACUUUCCUUUCAAUCUGGUCAAUUAAUGCCUGGAUGCAAUUCGUUGCAUAUGGAUGGAGGAAGAUGCACAGGGGAUGUUCAAAGAUAGCAGUCUUCUGGAUUACACUUUAUAAUCCACAGCUUCAGCUCCAACUUUUAACGGCUGUGGUAUUUGUGAGAGACCAUUUCAAAGGAUUGAGAACAAGCAGGAAGGUGCUAGCAGGUUAGUAGAGAAAAGGAAUUGCCUUCAGAAUGGGUGGAGUGAUAAAAUUGCACCUGAAAUUUUUUUCGUAUCCCAUCUGGUUUGUUGAAUUGAUUGGGGUGUUUCCAUGUAUCAAAGUAAAUAUUUUGUACGAGAAUUUGUGAACUGUUUUCAUGUAAUAUGUGUACAUACAUAUAAAGAUAAUGAAAAGAAG